Molecule: long non-coding RNA, 232 nt
Filed under: Ursus maritimus (polar bear)
Lineage: Eukaryota; Metazoa; Chordata; Mammalia; Carnivora; Ursidae
Description: lncRNA (ENSUMAG00000014263.1)
Source: RNAcentral
AGAACUAGAACAGGAAAGUCAUGGCAGAACACGGCAGAGAAAGGAUUGCUUUUAAUGCCACUCGGUUGGUAUGGGCCUAAGUGAAGCCUCAGAGCACAGCCCAUCGGAUAAUCAGGUCACAAAAGAGACCCGCCCUCUCAGCCCAAGGUUUGGAGGUUGGAGGCUGCCCUCUGAGGACCUUCUGACGCCAAGGGAUCAUUCCUUUGAUGCUGCCUCUCCCUGGCCCUGGUGA